This 2929-nucleotide ribosomal RNA is filed under the name Escherichia coli. RNAcentral's name for it is "23S ribosomal RNA". It matches the Rfam family "Bacterial large subunit ribosomal RNA". The record is from RNAcentral. Lineage: Bacteria; Pseudomonadati; Pseudomonadota; Gammaproteobacteria; Enterobacterales; Enterobacteriaceae.
GGGUUGUGAGGUUAAGCGACUAAGCGUACACGGUGGAUGCCCUGGCAGUCAGAGGCGAUGAAGGACGUGCUAAUCUGCGAUAAGCGUCGGUAAGGUGAUAUGAACCGUUAUAACCGGCGAUUUCCGAAUGGGGAAACCCAGUGUGUUUCGACACACUAUCAUUAACUGAAUCCAUAGGUUAAUGAGGCGAACCGGGGGAACUGAAACAUCUAAGUACCCCGAGGAAAAGAAAUCAACCGAGAUUCCCCCAGUAGCGGCGAGCGAACGGGGAGCAGCCCAGAGCCUGAAUCAGUGUGUGUGUUAGUGGAAGCGUCUGGAAAGGCGCGCGAUACAGGGUGACAGCCCCGUACACAAAAAUGCACAUGCUGUGAGCUCGAUGAGUAGGGCGGGACACGUGGUAUCCUGUCUGAAUAUGGGGGGACCAUCCUCCAAGGCUAAAUACUCCUGACUGACCGAUAGUGAACCAGUACCGUGAGGGAAAGGCGAAAAGAACCCCGGCGAGGGGAGUGAAAAAGAACCUGAAACCGUGUACGUACAAGCAGUGGGAGCACGCUUAGGCGUGUGACUGCGUACCUUUUGUAUAAUGGGUCAGCGACUUAUAUUCUGUAGCAAGGUUAACCGAAUAGGGGAGCCGAAGGGAAACCGAGUCUUAACUGGGCGUUAAGUUGCAGGGUAUAGACCCGAAACCCGGUGAUCUAGCCAUGGGCAGGUUGAAGGUUGGGUAACACUAACUGGAGGACCGAACCGACUAAUGUUGAAAAAUUAGCGGAUGACUUGUGGCUGGGGGUGAAAGGCCAAUCAAACCGGGAGAUAGCUGGUUCUCCCCGAAAGCUAUUUAGGUAGCGCCUCGUGAAUUCAUCUCCGGGGGUAGAGCACUGUUUCGGCAAGGGGGUCAUCCCGACUUACCAACCCGAUGCAAACUGCGAAUACCGGAGAAUGUUAUCACGGGAGACACACGGCGGGUGCUAACGUCCGUCGUGAAGAGGGAAACAACCCAGACCGCCAGCUAAGGUCCCAAAGUCAUGGUUAAGUGGGAAACGAUGUGGGAAGGCCCAGACAGCCAGGAUGUUGGCUUAGAAGCAGCCAUCAUUUAAAGAAAGCGUAAUAGCUCACUGGUCGAGUCGGCCUGCGCGGAAGAUGUAACGGGGCUAAACCAUGCACCGAAGCUGCGGCAGCGACGUUUAUGCGUUGUUGGGUAGGGGAGCGUUCUGUAAGCCUGUGAAGGUGUGCUGUGAGGCAUGCUGGAGGUAUCAGAAGUGCGAAUGCUGACAUAAGUAACGAUAAAGCGGGUGAAAAGCCCGCUCGCCGGAAGACCAAGGGUUCCUGUCCAACGUUAAUCGGGGCAGGGUGAGUCGACCCUAAGGCGAGGCCGAAAGGCGUAGUCGAUGGGAAACAGGUUAAUAUUCCUGUACUUGGUGUUACUGCGAAGGGGGGACGGAGAAGGCUAUGUUGGCCGGGCGACGGUUGUCCCGGUUUAAGCGUGUAGGCUGGUUUUCCAGGCAAAUCCGGAAAAUCAAGGCUGAGGCGUGAUGACGAGGCACUACGGUGCUGAAGCAACAAAUGCCCUGCUUCCAGGAAAAGCCUCUAAGCAUCAGGUAACAUCAAAUCGUACCCCAAACCGACACAGGUGGUCAGGUAGAGAAUACCAAGGCGCUUGAGAGAACUCGGGUGAAGGAACUAGGCAAAAUGGUGCCGUAACUUCGGGAGAAGGCACGCUGAUAUGUAGGUGAAGUCCCUCGCGGAUGGAGCUGAAAUCAGUCGAAGAUACCAGCUGGCUGCAACUGUUUAUUAAAAACACAGCACUGUGCAAACACGAAAGUGGACGUAUACGGUGUGACGCCUGCCCGGUGCCGGAAGGUUAAUUGAUGGGGUUAGCGGUAACGCGAAGCUCUUGAUCGAAGCCCCGGUAAACGGCGGCCGUAACUAUAACGGUCCUAAGGUAGCGAAAUUCCUUGUCGGGUAAGUUCCGACCUGCACGAAUGGCGUAAUGAUGGCGGGCUGUCUCCACCCGAGACUCAGUGAAAUUGAACUCGCUGUGAAGAUGCAGUGUACCCGCGGCAAGACGGAAAGACCCCGUGAACCUUUACUAUAGCUUGACACUGAACAUUGAGCCUUGAUGUGUAGGAUAGGUGGGAGGCUUAGAAGUGUGGACGCCAGUCUGCAUGGAGCCGACCUUGAAAUACCACCCUUUAAUGUUUGAUGUUCUAACGUUGACCCGUAAUCCGGGUUGCGGACAGUGUCUGGUGGGUAGUUUGACUGGGGCGGUCUCCUCCUAAAGAGUAACGGAGGAGCACGAAGGUUGGCUAAUCCUGGUCGGACAUCAGGAGGUUAGUGCAAUGGCAUAAGCCAGCUUGACUGCGAGCGUGACGGCGCGAGCAGGUGCGAAAGCAGGUCAUAGUGAUCCGGUGGUUCUGAAUGGAAGGGCCAUCGCUCAACGGAUAAAAGGUACUCCGGGGAUAACAGGCUGAUACCGCCCAAGAGUUCAUAUCGACGGCGGUGUUUGGCACCUCGAUGUCGGCUCAUCACAUCCGGGGCUGAAGUAGGUCCCAAGGGUAUGGCUGUUCGCCAUUUAAAGUGGUACGCGAGCUGGGUUUAGAACGUCGUGAGACAGUUCGGUCCCUAUCUGCCGUGGGCGCUGGAGAACUGAGGGGGGCUGCUCCUAGUACGAGAGGACCGGAGUGGACGCAUCACUGGUGUUCGGGUUGUCAUGCCAAUGGCACUGCCCGGUAGCUAAAUGCGGAAGAGAUAAGUGCUGAAAGCAUCUAAGCACGAAACUUGCCCCGAGAUGAGUUCUCCCUGACUCCUUGAGAGUCCUGAAGGAACGUUGAAGACGACGACGUUGAUAGGCCGGGUGUGUAAGCGCAGCGAUGCGUUGAGCUAACCGGUACUAAUGAACCGUGAGGCUUAACCUUACAACGCCGAAGCUGUU